RNAcentral lists this ribosomal RNA (711 nucleotides) under uncultured eukaryote. Its description in RNAcentral is "eukaryotic LSU rRNA". The stretch from base 291 to 445 matches the Rfam family "5.8S ribosomal RNA". The record is from RNAcentral.
UUCCGUAGGUGAACCUGCGGAAGGAUCAUUCGCACAUAUCCUAAAAACCACCGUGCAUCUUUCGCGUGAAGCUUGCCUGCUGUGGAUGGAGAGAACCAAAAGGAAAUCGAUACCCACAAGGUUAUUGCUUCCAGGGCUUCAGGGGUUGGAGGGGUCAAGACCUGCUUCUGCCUUUGUUGCUGAAGGAACUCAUCCUUUGGGAUGGGAGUGCCUCACAUUCUGUUCUAUUCCAUCUUGUUGUCAAGAUGAGUUCUUUGGACUUAGUUGUCCUUUCGAUGUGUGCUAAUUGCAACUUUCAGCGAUGGAUGUCUUGGCUCGAAUACUGAUGAAGGGCGCAGCGAAGUGUGAUGAGCAUUGUGAAUUGCAGAAUUCCGUGAAUCAAUAGUAACUUGAAUGUGCAUUGCGCUUUCGGGAUAUCCCUGAAAGCAUGUCUGCUUCAGAGUCUCUGUUACCUUCUGCCAGCAGUCUUCCCUGCAGUUCUUGCGGUGGUACUGUUGCGCAUGCUUGUGUGUCAAGGCGUUCCAUGGCGCCCUUGGCACAUGCAGCGCAUUGGAUUCUCCUCAGGGAAAGCAAAGUGUCAAGUGCCACUAAUCUGGCUCUGCCCCUUUUGCUUGCCUGGGACGGAGUCCUUGUGUGAGGCGCGCAUCCUUGCGCGCCUCUCCAAGACAUGAAGUCAGACCAGCAAACCCGCUGAAUUUAAGCAUAUCAACA